AUCCAGACUCCUACGGGAGGCAGCAGUGGGGAAUAUUGCACAAUGGGGGAAACCCUGAUGCAGCGACGCCGCGUGAGCGAAGAAGUAUUUCGGUAUGUAAAGCUCUAUCAGCAGGGAAGAAAUUGACGGUACCUGAGUAAGAAGCUCCGGCUAAAUACGUGCCAGCAGCCGCGGUAAUACGUAUGGAGCAAGCGUUAUCCGGAUUUACUGGGUGUAAAGGGAGCGUAGGCGGCCUGCCAAGUCUGAAGUGAAAUCCCGGGGCCCAACCCCGGAGCUGCAUUGGAAACUGGCAGGCUGGAGUGUCGGAGAGGCAGGCGGAAUUCCUGGUGUAGCGGUGAAAUGCGUAGAUAUUAGGAGGAACACCGGUGGCGAAGGCGGCCUGCUGGACGAUGACUGACGCUGAGGCUCGAAAGCGUGGGGAGCAAACAGGAUUAGAUACCCCAGUA
This 446-nucleotide ribosomal RNA is filed under the name uncultured bacterium. RNAcentral's name for it is "partial 16S ribosomal RNA". It matches the Rfam family "Bacterial small subunit ribosomal RNA", at positions 329 to 792 of the family's 1533-position model. The record is from RNAcentral.